Molecule: ribosomal RNA, 325 nt
Filed under: uncultured Acidobacteriota bacterium
Lineage: Bacteria; Pseudomonadati; Acidobacteriota
Description: bacterial SSU rRNA
Rfam family: Bacterial small subunit ribosomal RNA
Source: RNAcentral
CCUGGCUCNGGAUUNCGCUGGCGGCGUUCCCUAACACAUGCAGAAUCACACGAGAAAGGGGGCAACCCUGAGUACAGUGGCGUACUUGUCAGUAACACGUGGAUCAUCUACCUUUUAGUGGGGAAUACCCCUGGGAAACCGGGGACAAUACCGCAUAAGCCCGCAAGGGGAAAGCAGCAAUGCGCUGAAAGAGGAGUCCGCGGCUGAUUAGCUAGUUGGUGAGGUAAUGGCCCACCAAGGCGAAGAUCGGUAGCCGGCCUGAGAGGGCACACGGCCACACUGGCACUGAAAUACGGGCCAGACUCCUACGGGAGGCAGCAGUGGG